Molecule: ribosomal RNA, 514 nt
Filed under: uncultured bacterium
Lineage: Bacteria
Description: partial 16S ribosomal RNA
Rfam family: Bacterial small subunit ribosomal RNA
Source: RNAcentral
GAUGAACGCUGGCGGCGUGCCUAAUACAUGCAAGUCGAGCGAACAGAUGAGAAGCUUGCUUCUCUGAUGUUAGCGGCGGACGGGUGAGUAACACGUGGGUAACCUACCUAUAAGACUGGGAUAACUCCGGGAAACCGGGGCUAAUACCGGAUAAUAUUUUGAACCGCAUGGUUCAAUAGUGAAAGACGGUUUCGGCUGUCACUUAUAGAUGGACCCGCGCCGUAUUAGCUAGUUGGUAAGGUAACGGCUUACCAAGGCGACGAUACGUAGCCGACCUGAGAGGGUGGUCGGCCACACUGGAACUGAGACACGGUCCAGACGCCUACGGGAGGCAGCAGUAGGGAAGCUUCCGCAAUGGGCGAAAGCCUGACGGAGCAACGCCGCGUGAGUGAUGAAGGUCUUCGGAUCGUAAAACUCUGUUGUUAGGGAAGAACAAAUUUGUUAGUAACUGAACAAGUCUUGACGGUACCUAACCAGAAAGCCACGGCUAACUACGUGCCAGCCGCCGCCGUAA